This 4091-nucleotide long non-coding RNA is filed under the name Sus scrofa (pig). RNAcentral's name for it is "lncRNA (ENSSSCG00000057227.1)". Lineage: Eukaryota; Metazoa; Chordata; Mammalia; Artiodactyla; Suidae. The record is from RNAcentral.
UUAUAAAUUAGCCAUGGGGACAUAAUGUACAGUGUGGUGAGUAUAGUUAAUACUGUAUUACAUACAGUUGCUAAGAGAAUUUUUUUUAACUAGUCAUCUUUUAUUGGGUGUUAAUUUUCCAUUAGAAUAUGAAAGGACUCAGGUGCCAGGCAAGGGUCACGGUCAGGAGUACAGAGUGUGCCUUCUUCAGUUUAAGAGGCUGCUCAUAGUUAAGUUCCUUACAAGAAGGGUAGUACCUGAAAUGCAUGUAAGCUGCCAACACCAUAGAAAGGCCAGCAGUAUUCCUUUUCUUCAUAUUGACAUACUUGUAAUUCUGGUAGUAACUUCUUUGAAACACUCCUGCAAUGACUUUAAGGGUAAGAUAUUACAUUAGUAUCCAGCUUGGCAGCUCCCCUAAUUUGACAUGAAGGAGCUUCUUCUCCUUCAGCAGUAUGAUGGACACCAUCCUUGAGUCCUGGCUGUCCACUGCAAUAUUGAACUCUUCACUGUUGAGCAAGGUUUGAGGUAUGACUAAAGGCCUGCCCACAUUAUUCAUCUUCAUAGGGUUUCUCAUCACUAUGAAUUCUCUGAUUCAGAAAGAGAUGAAUAGUUUGUAGGUAUAAAUGUUUUUCUAUCACUGAUUACUUGAAUUCAAAUCUGUACUCCAACUUCUUAUUUCUUCCUUCAAAACCAUCCUGAAUUCCCUUCCUUGCUCCAAUAAUAUAAUUACAGCUGGUGAGAAAUGGAAUGGGCCCUUGAGACAAGUUACUAUAGUUCCUAGAGUUCUCCAUCAUUACAUAUGGGUACCAGUUUUCUGAACAUGUUGAAAAACCCCACCCAUACUGACAGGACUCUAUGGACACAUUUCUGAAUGUUAUGGAUCCAUGGGCCAUGGUUUCAUACCUGCCAAGAGCUGAUUAGUCCUCAGGGAUUCCUUUAUCAGAAAAACACAGAGUCCAGAAAACCCAUACUACCCUUUGCGGGCUCCAGCCAUGUCUUCACAGUCAUUUUCACAGCAACCCAUGCUUGUUUCUUCCUUGGACAGGUCACUCAUGUGUAGCACACAAGAAAGAACAUACAAGGCCCAAGGUGCAAGUCACCUCAUUGAUUGGAGGAUGUGAGAUCCAGAGUGGUCAUGAAAUUGAAUUUUUAAUUUAAAAAAAUUCCUAGCAAACAAAACUCCAGUACCAGACAACUUCACAGUGGAAUUAUACCGAACACUAAAAAAAAAAAAAAAAAAAAAAAAAAAGGAUUAAUACCAAUUUCCUCUCAAACUCUUCUAAAAAAUGGAAGAGAGAGAAACACUUCCAAAUACAUUUUAUGAUGCCAGAAUUACCCUGAUAAAACCAGACAAGGAUGCCACCAAAAAAGAAAAUUAUAGGUUAAUAUCCCUGAUAAGCAUAGAUGCAAAAGUCCUCAAAGAAAUAGUAAGCCAACUGAAUUCAACAACACAUGAAAAGUCUCAUAUGCCAUUGUAAAGCUGUAUUUAUCCCAAGGAUACAAGGAAAAUGCAACAUCUGUAAAUCAGUCAAUAUGACAUACCAUAUUAAAAAAGGGUUAAAAUUAUAUGAUCAUUUCCAUUGAUGCAGAAAAAGCAUUUGACAAAGUUCAACAUCCAUUUAUGAUAAAAACUUUUGAUAAGAUGAAUGUAGUGGGAAGGUAACAACACAGUAAAGGCCAUAAAAGACAAGCACACAAGUAACAUAAUACUCCACAGUGAAAAGCUGAAAGAUUUUCUCUAAGAUUAGGAACAAGACAAGGAUGUCUACUCGUGCCACUUUUAUUCAACAUAAUAUUGCAAGUCCUAGCAAUAGAUAUUAGACAAGGGAACGAAAAGCAUAUGAAUUGCAAUGGAAGAAGUAAAACCAUCACUAUUUGCACAUGAUAUGAUACUUUAUACAUAAAAUCCUAAAGUCUCCACAAAAAAACUAUUAGAACUCGUAAAUGAAUUAAGUAAAGUUGCAGGAUACAAGACUGACAUACAGAAAUCUGUUGUCUAUACACUUACAAUGAAAUAUCAGAAAGAGAAAGCAGGAAAACAGUCCAGUUUAAAAUCACAUGAAAAAGAAUAAGAUGUCUAAGAAUAACCAAGGAAGUGAAAGGCCUAUGCUCUGAAAACUAUAAACAUUGGUGACAGAAAUUGAAGAUGAUACAAAGAAAUUGAAAGAUAUCCUGUGUUCACUGACUGGAAGAAUUAAUAUUGUUAAAAUAGUCAUACUACCCAAAGCAAUCUACAGAUAGAAUACAAUCUUUAUCAAAAUAUCCAGGAUAUUUUUCAGAGAUCAAGAACAAACCAUCCUAAAAUUUUAUAUGGAACCUCAAAAGACCCCAAAUAUCCAAAGAAACAUGAGGAAAAAGAGUAAAACUGGAGGUAUCACACUCCUUAAUUUCAGACUACACUGUAAAGCUAAAUUAAUUGAAACAGUAUGAUAUUGGCACAAAAACAGAUACAUAGAUCAAGGGGACAGAAUGGAGAGCUCAGAAAUAAACCCAUACAUUUAUGGUCAAUUAAUCUACAACAAAGGAGGCAAGAAUUUACAACAGGGAAAAGAGUCUCUUCAAUAAGUGGUACUGGGAAAAUUGGACAGCUACAUGUAGAAGAAUAAAAUUUUCUUAUACAAAAAUAAACUCAAAAUGGAUUAAAGACUUAAAUGUAAGACCAGAUACCAUAAAACUCCUAAAAGAAAACAUAUAACAAUCUUUGAUGGAAAUAGUAUUUUGGGGAUCUGUUUUUAAGGCAAAGGAAAUAGAAGCAAAAAUAAACAAAUGGGACUUAGUUAAAUUUAAGACCUUUUGCACACCAAAGAAAACUAUCAACAAAAUGAAAAGACAACCAACUGAAUGAGAGAAAAUAUUUCCAAAUGAUAUGACUGACAAUGGGUUAAUAUUCAAGAUAUAAAGAGCUCAUCCAAAACAGGAUUAAGAUGGCAAAAUAGAAGGACUGGAGCUCAACUUCUCUACUAAAAACAACAAAAUUACAACCAAAUGCUGAGCAAACUUCAACCAAAUGGACUGGAAACUUUUGAAAAGAUAUCCUACUCCAGAAAAUGAAGAGGAGGCCACAUCAAGAGGUAAGAGGGAUGAUUACAUAAUAUAAGCAACCCCAUACCUCCCAGGUGGGAAGGAAGCUCCACAGACUGGAAAGUAACUGUAUCACAGAGACUCACCUAUGGGAGUGAGAGUUCUGAGCAUCAUGUGAAAUGCCCAUGCCUGGGGUUCUGGCAUUGGAAGAAAGAGCCCUUGGAGCAUCUGGAAUUGAAGGCCAGUGGGGCUUGUGCGCAGAGCUCCACAGGACUGGGGGAAAUGGAGCCUCACAGACUUUCAUGUGCACUGGGUCCCAGGGCAAAGCAAAGUCUCCAUAGGAAUCUGGAUUGGACCUAACUGCAAUUCUUGGUGGAUCUCCUGGGAAAACAGGGGGUAAAUGUGGCUUGUUGUGUCAGAAGGGCAUUGGAGGCAAAGCUCUUGGCAAUGUUAAUCAGUGUGCGUUUCUCUGGAGGUGGCCAUUUUGGGAAAAUCUGUAAACAGGCUGCCUAAAGAACAGGUUGCCUAAAGAACACCCGGGCACACAGCCUCCUCUAAUCUCACCCAGAGACAAAGCCCCACCCACCAGAGGGAUAGGAAUUAGCCAGCCUACAAGUGGGAAGGCACCAGUCCCUCCAAUCAGGAAGCCUACAGAAAGCCCCCAUACCAACUUCAGCCACGGGGGGGCAGACACCAGAAGUAAGAGAAGGUAUAAUUAUUGUCUGCAAAAAGGAGACCACAUCAAUACCCUACAAAAAUGAAGACAGAGUCCUAUAACUCGGAUGAGGGAGAAAGAAAAAAACCCCAGAAAAACAACUAAGUUAUCAGAAGAUUUUCAGCCUCCAGGGAAAGACUUUAGACUGAUGAUGAUGAAGAUAAUGCAAGACAUUGGAAAUAAACUGGAGGCAAAGAUGGAUAACUUACAGGAAACACUGAGCAAAGAUAGAUAAGAUAUAAAACGUAAGCAAGAAGAGAUGCAAAAUACAAUAACAGAAAUAAAAAAUUCAUUAGAAGCAGCCAACAGCAGAAUACAGGAGGCAGAAGAACAAAUAAGUGAGGUGGAGGACAGACUAGUGAAAAUCACUGAUGUG